Molecule: small nuclear RNA, 107 nt
Organism: Fukomys damarensis (Damara mole-rat)
Lineage: Eukaryota; Metazoa; Chordata; Mammalia; Rodentia; Bathyergidae
Source: Ensembl
GUUCUCUCUUCAACAGCAUAUAUAUUAAAACUGGAAUGAUAAAGAGAAGAUUAACAUGGUCCCUAAGCAAGGAUGAAAUACAUAUUUGUGAAAUGCUCCACAUAUUU